RNAcentral lists this ribosomal RNA (496 nucleotides) under uncultured bacterium. Its description in RNAcentral is "partial 16S ribosomal RNA". It matches the Rfam family "Bacterial small subunit ribosomal RNA", at positions 29 to 507 of the family's 1533-position model. The record is from RNAcentral.
AUGCACGCUGGCGGCGUGCCUAAUCCAUGCCAGUCGAGCGAACAGACGAGGAGCUUGCUCCUCUGACGUUAGCGGCGGACGGGUGAGUAACACGUGGAUAACCUACCUAUAAGACUGGGAUAACUUCGGGAAACCGGAGCUAAUACCGGAUAAUAUAUUGAACCGCAUGGUUCAAUAGUGAAAGACGGUUUUGCUGUCACUUAUAGAUGGAUCCGCGCCGCAUUAGCUAGUUGGUAAGGUAACGGCUUACCAAGGCAACGAUGCGUAGCCGACCUGAGAGGGUGAUCGGCCACACUGGAACUGAGACACGGUCCAGACUCCUACGGGAGGCAGCAGUAGGGAAUCUUCCGCAAAGGGCGAAAGCCUGACGGAGCAACGCCGCGUGAGUGAUGAAGGUCUUCGGAUCGUAAAACUCUGUUAUUAGGGAAGAACAAAUGUGUAAGUAACUAUGCACGUCUUGACGGUACCUAAUCAGAAAGCCACGGCUAACUACGUG